RNAcentral lists this ribosomal RNA (253 nucleotides) under uncultured bacterium. Its description in RNAcentral is "partial 16S ribosomal RNA". It matches the Rfam family "Bacterial small subunit ribosomal RNA", at positions 524 to 776 of the family's 1533-position model. The record is from RNAcentral.
GACGGGGGAUGCAAGCGUUGUCCGGAAUCACUGGGCGUAAAGCGUCUGUAGGUGGUGAUGCAAGUCACUGAUGCAAAACUCUGGCUCAACCGGAGGAAAGCCAGUGAAACUGCAUGACUAGAGUGUGGGAGAGGUAGAAGGAAUUCCCUGAGUAGCGGUGAAAUGCGUAGAUACAGGGAAGAACACCGGAUGCGAAAGCGGGCUACUGGAGCACAACUGACAAUGAGAGACGAAAGCUAGGGGAGCGAAUGGG